RNAcentral lists this ribosomal RNA (234 nucleotides) under uncultured bacterium. RNAcentral's name for it is "partial 16S ribosomal RNA". It matches the Rfam family "Bacterial small subunit ribosomal RNA", at positions 15 to 228 of the family's 1533-position model. The record is from RNAcentral.
GAUCAUGGCUCAGGACGAACGCUGGCGGCGUGCCUAACACAUGCAAGUCGAACGGAACUGUUUUGAAAGAUUUCUUCGGAAUGAAUUUGAUUUAGUUUAGUGGCGGACGGGUGAGUAACGCGUGAGUAACCUGCCUUCAAGAGGGGGAUAACAUUCUGAAAAGAAUGCUAAUACCGCAUGACAUAUCGGAAUCACAUGAUUCUGAUAUCAAAGAUUUUAAUCGCUUGAAGAUGG